UGGGCGAUCUGCCCUGCACUUCGGGAUAAGCCUGGGAAACUGGGUCUAAUACCGGAUAUGACUACGAAUCGCAUGGUUUGUGGUGGAAAGCUUUUGCGGUGUGGGAUGGGCCCGCGGCCUAUCAGCUUGUUGGUGUGGUUACGGCUCACCAAGGCGACGACGGGUAGCCGGCCUGAGAGGGCGAUCGGCCACACGUGGGACUGAGACACGGCCCAGACCUCCCGUACGGGGAGCA
This 235-nucleotide ribosomal RNA is filed under the name uncultured bacterium. Its description in RNAcentral is "partial 16S ribosomal RNA". It matches the Rfam family "Bacterial small subunit ribosomal RNA", at positions 118 to 350 of the family's 1533-position model. The record is from RNAcentral.